This 208-nucleotide long non-coding RNA is filed under the name Elaeis guineensis (African oil palm). Its description in RNAcentral is "long non-coding RNA (EGUI_LNC017327)". The record is from RNAcentral. Lineage: Eukaryota; Viridiplantae; Streptophyta; Magnoliopsida; Arecales; Arecaceae.
GACCUUCAGAUGAGCUUCCACAUCAGGUGAAUCCCAGACGGACUUCUCUAGCAAUUAGACCCAAACUGGACUUCACCAACAGAAAGUCUCCAUCUGAGCUUCUACAGUAGAUGAAUCCCGCCUGUAGCAUCAGCACCUGAGGCAUCCGACAACAGUAGACUCGUCAGCAGCCUCGAAAAUAUUCGAGCUUCUCCCAGAUCGACGGGAC